CUACGGGCUGCACCAGUGGGGAAUAUUGCACAAUGGAGGAAACUCUGAUGCAGCAACGCCGCGUGGAGGAUGACACUUUUCGGAGCGUAAACUCCUUUUAUAUAGGAAGAAGAUGACGGUACUAUAUGAAUAAGCGCCGGCUAACCCCGUGCCAGCAGCCGCGGUAAUACGGAGGGCGCAAGCGUUACUCGGAAUCACUGGGCGUAAAGAGCGUGUAGGCGGAUUAAAAAGUCAGAAGUGGAAUCCUAUAGCUUAACUAUAGAACUGCUUCUGAAACUCUUAAUCUAGAAUAUGGGAGAGGUAGAUGGAAUUUCUGGUGUAGGGGUAAAAUCCGUAGAGAUCAGAAGGAAUACCGAUUGCGAAGGCGAUCUACUAGAACAUUAUUGACGCUGAGACGCGAAAGCGUGGGGAGCAAACAGGAUUAGAUACCCUAGUAGUC
This 439-nucleotide ribosomal RNA is filed under the name uncultured bacterium. RNAcentral's name for it is "partial 16S ribosomal RNA". It matches the Rfam family "Bacterial small subunit ribosomal RNA", at positions 339 to 795 of the family's 1533-position model. The record is from RNAcentral.